AAUGGGCGAAAGCCUGACGGAGCAACGCCGCGUGAGGGAUGAAGGCCUCUGGGCUGUAAACCUCUUUUAUCAAGGAAGAAGAUCUGAUGGUACUUGAUGAAUAAGCCACGGCUAAUUCCGUGCCAGCAGCCGCGGUAAUACGGGAGUGGCAAGCGUUAUCCGGAAUUAUUGGGCGUAAAGCGUCCGCAGGCGGCCCUUCAAGUCUGCUGUUAAAAAGUGGAGCUUAACUCCAUCAUGGCAGUGGAAACUGUUGGGCUUGAGUGUGGUAGGGGCAGAGGGAAUUCCCGGUGUAGCGGUGAAAUGCGUAGAUAUCGGGAAGAACACCAGUGGCGAAGGCGCUCUGCUGGGCCAUCACUGACGCUCAUGGACGAAAGCCAGGGGAGCGAAAGGGAUU
RNAcentral lists this ribosomal RNA (394 nucleotides) under uncultured Gammaproteobacteria bacterium. RNAcentral's name for it is "bacterial SSU rRNA". It matches the Rfam family "Bacterial small subunit ribosomal RNA", at positions 370 to 779 of the family's 1533-position model. The record is from RNAcentral. Lineage: Bacteria; Pseudomonadati; Pseudomonadota; Gammaproteobacteria.